AAGCACUCGCUCUGUGGUGUUUUGUGUGAACAGUCAUAUAGCUGUUAAACGAAAUGGAAGCUAAAGAAUAUGGAAGUAACAACAAUCGGAAACUCACUGAACUAACUUCCCAGAAAAGUGGAAGGAUACUUUUCCUACCAAACCACGAGGACAUUCUACAACGUGACAAUCCAAGAUGUACUCUUAGAAACGAACUAUUUGGCAAUAAAUCCGACUAUUUCGAGACUCCCCCAUUGAUUUCUAAUAUCGAUGUGACGAACAGAC
Molecule: long non-coding RNA, 264 nt
Organism: Octopus sinensis (East Asian common octopus)
Lineage: Eukaryota; Metazoa; Mollusca; Cephalopoda; Octopoda; Octopodidae
Exons: 3
Source: RefSeq, a predicted model, not a curated record